RNAcentral lists this ribosomal RNA (328 nucleotides) under uncultured eukaryote. Its description in RNAcentral is "partial 18S ribosomal RNA". It matches the Rfam family "Eukaryotic small subunit ribosomal RNA", at positions 1470 to 1796 of the family's 1831-position model. The record is from RNAcentral.
CCCUUAGAUGUCCUGGGCCGCACGCGCGCUACACUGACGGAGCCAGCGAGCUUACCCCUUUGCCGAAAGGCAUGGGAAAUCUUUUGAAUCUCCGUCGUGCUGGGGAUAGAUCAUUGCAAUUAUUGAUCUUGAACGAGGAAUUCCUAGUAAGCGCAAGUCAUCAACUUGCGUUGAUUACGUCCCUGCCCUUUGUACACACCGCCCGUCGCUCCUACCGAUUGAAUGUGUUGGUGAGGAGCUCGGAUUGGCAGCAGUUGGUGGUUCGCCACCGGCUAUUGCUGAGAAGUCCUCCAAACCGCCCCAUUUAGAGGAAGGAGAAGUCGUAACA